GCCCCUCUAGUGCAAUGGUUAGCAUAGGUUUUUCCGGAGAAUCUGAUCCGAGUUCGAUCCUCGGGAGGGGCU
Molecule: transfer RNA, 72 nt
Filed under: Petasospora fabianii
Lineage: Eukaryota; Fungi; Ascomycota; Saccharomycetes; Phaffomycetales; Wickerhamomycetaceae
Description: Cyberlindnera fabianii tRNA-Arg (CCG) cove score=49.17
Source: RNAcentral